This 400-nucleotide ribosomal RNA is filed under the name Photobacterium sp. AZTITEMP122. RNAcentral's name for it is "bacterial SSU rRNA". It matches the Rfam family "Bacterial small subunit ribosomal RNA", at positions 935 to 1335 of the family's 1533-position model. Lineage: Bacteria; Pseudomonadati; Pseudomonadota; Gammaproteobacteria; Vibrionales; Vibrionaceae. The record is from RNAcentral.
GAGCAUGUGGUUUAAUUCGAUGCAACGCGAAGAACCUUACCUACUCUUGACAUCCAGAGAAUUCGCUAGAGAUAGCUUAGUGCCUUCGGGAACUCUGAGACAGGUGCUGCAUGGCUGUCGUCAGCUCGUGUUGUGAAAUGUUGGGUUAAGUCCCGCAACGAGCGCAACCCUUAUCCUUGUUUGCCAGCACGUAAUGGUGGGAACUCCAGGGAGACUGCCGGUGAUAAACCGGAGGAAGGUGGGGACGACGUCAAGUCAUCAUGGCCCUUACGAGUAGGGCUACACACGUGCUACAAUGGCGUAUACAGAGGGCUGCAAACUAGCGAUAGUAAGCGAAUCCCACAAAGUACGUCGUAGUCCGGAUUGGAGUCUGCAACUCGACUCCNGAAGUCGNAAUCGC